This is an RNA transcript of Pongo pygmaeus (Bornean orangutan), 4195 nucleotides long. It is a transcript of the gene named HPS4 biogenesis of lysosomal organelles complex 3 subunit 2, with no coding region annotated. The record is from RefSeq and is a predicted model, not a curated record. The transcript has 15 exons. NCBI's taxonomy places the organism in Eukaryota, Metazoa, Chordata, Mammalia, Primates, Hominidae.
GCUUGCCAGGAGCUGGAGGGGGAGGUAGGCGGGGCGGCGCGUGACCUAAGGCCUCUCUGCCGCGCGCGCAGGUACGGGACCGAAGUCGCAGGUGCCCAGCUGCCGCCCACAUUUCUGGUCCAGAGUCCCGAACCCCGAGCACUGGGAUGCCUGGCUACUCCGAGCCAAGGCACUGAUGUUUGAACUGGAAACUUCAAAACUUUUAAUAAGAGUCUUCAGGAUGGGUUUGAACUAGACAAGCUAGAAAUUUCUUCAGAACACCAGCUCUAGCAUGCAUCUCCCACUUUUGGCUUUCCUGGAGAGGAGCUUGAAGAGGUGGUUCUGCAGACAGCCACAGUGACCCUCAGGAAACCAGAGGAAUGGAUUUGACUUUUCUGCUAGGAUUCUCUUUGUUAUCGUUUCUCCCUGAGUUGUAAGAGGCAUCGAAAUAUACAUGAAACUGAAGAACCUGCAAGGAAGGGAAGUGGCACUUUCCAUGCUGAGUGAAAACUAACCAAGUGGCAGUUGUGACUGAAAACACUGAAACCUACCACGUCCGGAUUCACUGGAUUGGGGGAUAGAGGAACGGUCACAGCUAGGGAGAAGGAAGUGAUACUGGAAAAGAAAACCUAAAUGAAGAGAAUGAGGAUGACUGCAAAGUAGAUGGCCACCUCUACCUCCACAGAGACAAAGUCAGCCUCGUGGUGGAAUUAUUUUUUUCUUUAUGAUGGUUCCAAGGUAAAGGAAGAAGGCGAUCCAACAAGAGCUGGCAUUUGUUACUUUUAUCCUUCCCAGACCCUGCUUGACCAACAGGAGUUGCUUUGUGGACAGAUUGCUGGAGUUGUCCGCUGUGUUUCUGACAUUUCUGACUCUCCUCCUACUCUUGUUCGUCUGAGAAAACUGAAGUUUGCCGUAAAAGUUGAUGGAGAUUACCUUUGGGUGCUGGGCUGUGCUGUGGAGCUCCCUGAUGUCAGCUGCAAGCGGUUUCUGGAUCAGCUAAUUGGAUUCUUUAAUUUUUACAAUGGACCUGUUUCCCUAGCUUAUGGGAAUUGUUCUCAGGAAGAACUGAGCACGGAGUGGGACACCUUCAUCGAACAAAUUCUGAAAAACACCAGUGAUCUGCAUAAGAUUUUCAAUUCCCUCUGGAACUUGGACCAAACUAAAGUGGAGCCCCUGUUGUUGCUGAAGGCAGCCCGCAUUCUGCAGACCUGCCAGCGCUCGCCUCACAUUCUUGCUGGCUGCAUCCUCUAUAAAGGACUGAUUGUCAGCACCCAGCUCCCGCCCUCCCUCACCGCCAAGGUCCUGCUUCACCGAACAGCACCUCAGGAGCAGAGACUCCCUACGGGAGGGGAUGCCCCGCAGGAACAUGGAGCGGCAUUGCCCCCGAAUGUCCAGAUUAUCCCUGUUUUUGUGACCAAAGAGGAAGCCAUUAGUCUCCACGAGUUCCCGGUGGAACAGAUGACAAGGUCUCUAGCAUCUCCAGCAGGACUCCAGGAUGGUUCAGCCCAGCACCAUCCAAAGGGUGGGCGCACAUCUGCCCUGAAAGAAAAUGCCACUGGCCAUGUGGAAUCCAUGGUCUGGACCACCCCAGAGCCCACAUCCCCUGACGAAGCUUGUCCAGAUGGCAGGAAGGAGAACAGAUGCUUGUCUGGCCAUGAUCUGGAGAGCAUCAGGCCCGCAGGACUGCACAACACUGCCAGGGGUGAGGUUCUUGGCCUCAGCUGCUCCCUGGGGAAGGAACUAGUCUUUCUCCAAGAAGAACUCGACUUGUCUGAAAUCCACAUUCCAGAGGCUCAGGAAGUGGAAACGGCCUCAGGUCAUUUUGCCUUCCUACAUGUGCCUGUUCCAGAUGGCAGGGCUCCUUACUGCAAGGCAUCUCUCAGCGCCUCCAGCAGCCUGGAACCCACGUCUCCUGAGGACACAGCCGUCAGCAGCCUGCGCCCUCCCUCUGCUCCUGAGGUGCUCACCCAGCAUGGAGCCCAAGAGCAGCUCGAAGACCAUCCUGGCCAUAGCAGCCAAGCCCCCAUUCCCAGAGCAGACCCUCUCCCCAGAAGGACCCGCAGGCCCUUGUUAUUGCCUCGCUUAGAUCCAGGGCAGAGAGGAAACAGGCUUCCCACGGGGGAACAAGGCCUGGAUCAGGAUGUUGAUGGGGCCUGUGAAAGCCACGCAGCCCCUGGUCUGGAACGCAGUUCAGGCUCAGCAAACUGUCAGGGUGCUGGCCCCUCUGCAGAUGGAAUCAGCUCCAGGCUGACACCAGCAGGGUCCUGCAUGGGGCUCAUGAGGAUGAAUCUCUACACUCACUGCAUCAAAGGGCUGGUGCUGUCCCUGCUAGCUGAGGAGCCACUGCUGGGAGACAGCGCAGCCAUAGAGGAAGUGUACCACAGCAGCCUGGCGUCGCUGAAUGGGCUGGAAGUCCACCUGAAAGAGACGCUGCCCAGGGAUGAGGCAGCCUCCACAAGCAGCACCUACAACUUCACACAUUACGACCGCAUUCAGAGCUUGCUGAUGGCAAACCUGCCGCAGGUGGCCACCCCGCAGGAUCGCCGCUUCCUCCAGGCCGUCAGCCUGAUGCAUAGCGAAUUUGCCCAGCUGCCCGCGCUUUAUGAAAUGACUGUCAGAAAUGCCUCCACGGCCGUGUACGCCUGUUGCAACCCCAUCCAGGAGACAUAUUUCCAGCAGCUGGCACCUGCAGCACGGAGCUCCGGCUUCCCAAACCCUCAGGAUGGCGCCUUCAGCCUCUCCGGCAAAGCCAAGCAGAAGCUGCUGAAGCACGGGGUGAACUUGCUCUGAACUGCACCCAGGAGGUGACUGGAAAGGAGAAAACCAGUAAAGGAAGCUCUGCCUUUUAUAACUGAAAAGGCCCCUCUAUUUUAUUUUUCUUGAAAACAUUCCCUUUUUUAGGAACAUAAUGAUAUUUGAGUUUUUGUUAUUCCUUUUGCAGAUUGGGAUGUGUUUUGGGGGCAGGGGUUAGUUCUUCAGGUCAGCAGACCCAGAGCACUUGAUAAAGAACUGUAUUUAAUCGGUGGUGUUGGGGCCGGGACGGGCUUGGCUCCCUCUCUGCCAUACUGAGCCUGAGGUAUUUCAUAUCUCCUGCUGCUGUUUCAUCCCAGCUUGAACUGGUGCCACAAGAUUCCAAGUUGGCAUUUUUUCUAGAACUUGAUCGUCCACUAGCCCAGAGUGUGUGUGUUCAACCCCCACACCAGGUGGUGGUAGGCGGUGUGACUGCACAUCGAGGUGCUGGAUCUGUGAGCAGGCCGACUCCACGCCCACGCCGCAGGAUCUCUGCUGUCUCUUGGAUCCCAUCUGCCUAGAUGGAAGAGGAUCCUAUUGGAAGCUAGGAUAAAUGUUGUCUUAGUCCUCUGCUAUGUUCUCCCAGAAAAAAUUCAUUACAAGUUCUCUGCUGUGGUUGCUGCAGCUCCAGGAAGCCCCCGCAAUGUCUCACGUUGUCUUUGACCAGUGGUCCCCAGUACCAGGCCAGAGAAGACAACUUUAUAAUGUCAUUUGUGUUGUGAAAAUUCUUCCACUGACCCAAAAUGGAACCGUACAAAGCCUAUCCGUGUAUAUGGAAAAGUCUCAUCCACUUGGAUUAACUCAGAAAAAGUAAAGUCCUGAAACUACUUUGCAGGUGUGCCCCUUUCUUUCCUCCUUUGAUCCUGCUUAGUUUCUGCAGUGGAGGUUCUGCUCAGAGCCCCAGGGCACUGGCAGCUGCAGCCGUCAUCUCUAAAGCUUGGUAACUGUGGCCCAGAGGCUGCAGAGAAGAAACACUUAGCCCGCUGUUUUCCCGUUUUUUAAUAUUUCAGAGGUUUCAGGGGGUCACUCAGGACACGGUUUAUCCCACAGCCCCAGGCCCAUCGCCUCAAAAUUAGCAUCCCCAGAGUACAGGCCCAGCGACGGACAGCCAAGCAGCGUGUUCUUGCUGGAAUGGGCACCACAACCUCUUAUGGCCACGUUUCCCAAGGGAAGGCAGUGUGCAGGACAGCCUGCCCACCCUGGACUCCUAGUUGACACCGAGUGCCACUGUCAGCGAUCCAGGACCACAGAUUCUAGUGACUCUUCAGGGCAGAAAAGCCUCUGUUUUGGCUCCGUCUGUGCCAGCCAUCUGCCACCUGUGAACUGUAAGGAUAAAGGUCGCAUGAGUGAUUAACAGUGGUCUGUUAGUCCGUUCUCAACGCUUCUAAUAAAGACAUACCCGAGACUGUGUACUUCAUAAAGGAAA